CCCAAAAAAAUCUCAAAUAGAGACACUUUUCAGCCAUCUCAAACUGAUGCACCUAAAAAACAUCUCAAAUAGAGUCACUUGUGCAAAAAGUAACUCUAUUUGAGACGCACACGAGUUACCGUCUCUAACAGAGACGGCGGCCGAAAAGUGUCUCUAUUUGAGAUACUUUUUGGAAGCAUCUCACCGAGAGAUACCGCGCUGCCUUUGGCUCCCGGCUGCCGCUUCCUCGCCGCAAUUUGCAGACUUUUGUGGCUUGUUACGGCUUUUUGGACAUCGUGUGGAGGACAUGAUUAUUAAAUCUCAUCGUGUUAUUGUUUUGACAAGCUGUUCAUCAUGAUGGGCAACGUUUCAGCGCAUAGCCGCUCAUGAGGCCUCCACCCUCAUAGUGCGAAUAGCCACCGGAUGACCCCGUGUAACUGGCCACUGUCCCCCACUGAGCAGAACCUGCCUAUGGUACCACAGAGGCCUUGGACUUGGUUGAGACAACUGCUCGUGCGAAGCCAUGGCUUCCGGAGACGAUCAAACCCCGUGCCGUGCGUGUGACUGGCCACUGGCCAUGGUCACCCUCGCCCGAUGAGCAAGACCAUUGGCCUGUUUGGCCACAUCUAUCUCAAGAAAAUGUGACUGCUCUGUCAGCUGUUUCAUAGCCUUAUCUGCCGACAGCUAGCGAAGGGAUGUUUUUCACUUUGGCAUGACUGCUUUGUUAGGCCGGCUUCAGAGGAUCACUUCCUGGUACUACGCAGAGGCGAGAUUAUUAUGACCAUCGCAUCAAAUGCUGGCUGCGGCCGCCUCUGCGGACAGCUCACUGCUGGCAGGUUUUCUUGAUUAGUGACAAAUCAAUUUUUUUCGCACAAUUUUGCGCUUGAAAGAAAAUAUUUGAUAUUUUUUUUAUAUAUAUUUGUGGGUCAUUUUCGAGCACUUAAAACUCAUGUAAACCCUUUUCAAAAUUUAUUUCACCUAUUGGAUUGCCAAAACUUACCUCUUACUUAGUUGUUCGAUCAACGAAUAAGAUUGUAUUAAAGCCAUAUUUUUUCACCUGUUUUGCUUACCGAUUGAAUUACCAACGCGUUAAUUUUUCAGUGAUAUAUUGUGCGAGGCUCGCAGCCAUGCUAGAUAAUUAGAAAAGUGUUUCUAUAUAUCUACACAUUUUUCUAGUCAAAACACUAUAAUUGGGAAAAC
Molecule: long non-coding RNA, 1179 nt
Organism: Cloeon dipterum
Lineage: Eukaryota; Metazoa; Arthropoda; Insecta; Ephemeroptera; Baetidae
Exons: 4
Source: RefSeq, a predicted model, not a curated record